AGAGUUUGAUCCUGGCUCAGGAUUAACGCUGGCGGCAUGCCUAAUACAUGCAAGUCGAACGAAAAAUAUAUAGAUGCUUGCAUUUAGAUAUUUUUAGUGGCGAACGGGUGAGUAAUAUAUAGAUAACCUACCUUUAAGUUGGGGAUAACAGAGGGAAACUUUUGCUAAUACCGAAUAAAAUAAUUAGACGCAUGUUUAAUUAUUAAAAGGGGCUUCAAAGCCCCGCUCUAAGAGGGGUCUAUAUCGCAUUAGCUAGUUGGUAAGAUAACAGCCUACCAAGGCUAUGAUGCGUAGCUGUACUGAGAGGUAGAACAGCCACAUUGGGACUGAGAUACGGCCCAAACUCCUACGGGAGGCAGCAGUAGGGAAUUUUCGGCAAUGGGGGGAACCCUGACCGAGCAAUGCCGCGUGAUUGAAGAAGAUCUUCGGAUCGUAAAGAUCUGUUAUUAGGGAAGAAUGGAAUUGAUAGGAAAUGAUCAAUUUAUGACGGUGCCUAAUGAGGAAGCCCCGGCUAACUAUGUGCCAGCAGCCGCGGUAAUACAUAGGGGGCGAGCGUUAUCCGGAAUUAUUGGGCGUAAAGGGUACGUAGGCGGGCCUGCAAGUCUGAUUUGAAAGCACACGGCUUAACCGUGUGAGGUAAUUAGAAACUACAGGUCUAGAGAGUGGUAGAGGUAAAUGGAAUUCCAAGUGGAGCGGUGAAAUGCGUAGAGAUUUGGAGGAACACCAGUGGCGAAGGCGGUUUACUGGGCCACAUCUGACGCUGAUGUACGAAAGCGUGGGGAGCAAACAGGAUUAGAUACCCUGGUAGUCCA
This 812-nucleotide ribosomal RNA is filed under the name uncultured bacterium. RNAcentral describes it as "bacterial SSU rRNA". It matches the Rfam family "Bacterial small subunit ribosomal RNA", at positions 8 to 797 of the family's 1533-position model. The record is from RNAcentral.